RNAcentral lists this long non-coding RNA (2094 nucleotides) under Canis lupus dingo (dingo). RNAcentral's name for it is "lncRNA (ENSCAFG00020024339.1)". The record is from RNAcentral. Lineage: Eukaryota; Metazoa; Chordata; Mammalia; Carnivora; Canidae.
AGAGAGAGAGAGGCAGAGACACAGGCAGAGGGAGAAGCAGGCUCCAUGCACCGGGAGCCCGACGUGGGAUUCGAUCCCGGGUCUCCAGGAUCGCGCCCUGUGCCAAAGGCAGGCGCCAAACCGCUGCGCCAUCCAGGGAUCCCUGUCUCAUCAGUUCUGAAAAUGGGUUUGGCUGAAUCUAGAUCACCUUCUGUAAACACAGGGAAAUUCCUAGGGGAGACCAAGUGCUAGUCCAUUCCUUCAAGGUUUUCUUUGGGUCUUUGGGUUGGUUCUUCCUCUGAAAGUUCAAAAUCACCUGUGAUUCUGUUGAGGGCUGGAGGUAACCUACUUACCUAAGCUGUUACUCAACAGCCUGGGGAAGAAGAAAUACUUUAGCAGUGGGAGGGACCGUUUAGCGCCUUCAGGUUAUCUAAGGGACUAAUUUAUGCUGACCUUUAUUGUAUGCAAGAAAUAGUCAUAGACUCUGAAGAGAUUAUUUAAUUUCAUUAUUGGAGAUCAUACACAGGCACUGUUUGUUUCACAUUAAUUACUUUCAUUGAAGGUUACCAAGUGAUACCUUCUUAACAUCAGCCCUAAUAAAAUUAGCAUAAACUUUGUUCUUUGUCAAAAGGCUACAGCAAAUGAUCUCUGGAGGUCUUUUCUGUCUCUAAGAUAGGUCUACAAUUCUUGGAUUCCUUCUUGUAAUUCUUCUGGAAUGACUUGGACUCUUUUCCAGUCUACUUGUGAUAGACUUCUUGUACAGCCUGGAGAGAGCAGUGGCCUGCAUGGUCUGUCCUCCUCCCUUCAGUCUAAGGCUCUCUGGUGACUUGGAGGACUCGUAUUUAUAGUUACAGUUAUAGUCUAAUAUUGGGACUCUCCACAGACUGCUGCUCGGAGAAGUUCAAGGUCUCUGAGACGGUUUCAAUGAAAGAAUUCCAUCAAAAAGAAUUUGCUGAAUUGUGAUUGCAAACAAAAUAGCUUUGUGGGGACAAAAUGUACUCCUGACAAGAGAGCCUUAUGUUUAUUUUCCAGCCUCUCCCAGUGCUUCACUUCUAAUCUCUCCACAGAAGGAAACAUUUCAACAGAGAACCCUGUGGAAAUUGAGACCAACUAUCUUCUCGAAGUCCUGAACUCCCCAUUCCUACUUCUGAAGGCAUCCUUUUGUUCACAGCAGCUAAAGCUAGCCCGAAGUCCAGUUCCUUGCGAUGGUGGUUCUGUUUGGAUGUUGGAUACACACCAUUCCAAGCAUUGUGGUCUCCAAAUACUGUCAUCCAGGGCCCUGCAGCAACUGAACAAGGAGAAGAUACCCUGUUGUGUCAUCCUGAUCUGAGAUAAUACAUAGGAUGAAAGCACAUGGUUAAGUUAUCUACCAACCUGGCAGGAAUGGAUUCCAGAUAUGGAACACCAUGGCCUCACUCUUUGCCAGUAUACUCCUGGAAGGGCAAGCCUAUGGUGAGCUCCUUAGACUUUGUUAGUGGGUGAAAGCCUUGGGUUUCAGGAGAAAGUAUUUGGAUGGCAUUUUAAGAAGCCUUUUCAUUUUCAGUAGAGUAGAAAAGUCUGCCUCUGAGCCUGUGGUACGAUCUUUUCUCUAGAUGAACACAAUGACUGUCUCACAUUUUUUCUGAUAUUUAUUCUGCAAAUCAGCUGCAUGAGCCCCUGCCACUUUCCUGAAUAAGCUUCCAGGCAUUACCUGCAUGCUGUGUUCCUGUGGAGGGAUGGCAGUAAUCUCUGCUAAGAUAAACUGGAGCUUCUGUGGAUAAAGCGUAAAUGCAGUGAAGUGUGUGUGGCUGUAAGAUUUAAUGCCUCUACAGGUAAUUUUUUUGGAAGGGGGAUCUGGCAUUUAAUCAAAUCCAGAGUCAUUAUGUAAAUUUAAUCACCUUGCAACACACUAGUAAUUUUAUUAUCUCCUUUUCAUUUGACAGUGCUUAGGUACAAGUUGAGCUUGGAAUUCCAGAGGUAGAACACUGCUGAUUGGAGGCAUAUGAAGGAAAAUGUACUGUGGAAAUGAGAUAAAACUUUUAUUCUUGCUAUUGAUUGUCAUCUAUGUAUGUGUACAGGUGUCCAACAAAAGGUUUCUAGAAUAAAGUGCAUCUGUUUAAGGUUCUCUACCUUUCU